Molecule: long non-coding RNA, 1458 nt
Filed under: Monodelphis domestica (gray short-tailed opossum)
Lineage: Eukaryota; Metazoa; Chordata; Mammalia; Didelphimorphia; Didelphidae
Description: lncRNA (ENSMODG00000051491.1)
Source: RNAcentral
AUGGCUGAGAGGUUCCACCUCCUCUCGCUAACCAUAGUCCUCCUCCUCCGUAACAUUGCAUUCACCUCCCCAUCCCUGACACAGUGCCCAGAGGGAUACACUCUCAUACGCAGUCGAGACCACGGCUCAAGUUGCGCAUUGUGGUGCAGCAUCCGGAACUCCGUAAAACUUGUUCGCUACUCAGAAGUAUGCCCCCCCCUAAUCCCCUGGACCCCCUUCCCCAGUGCUUCCUGCUUGGCCUGGGACACCUCGGGAAGUUGCGUCUUCUGGGUGGGGCCGGUCGAGACCACCGCUCCUGUCGAGACCACCGCUCCUGUCGAGACCACCGCUCCUGUCGAGCUUGGAACAGCCACCGCGUCUACCAUCGCAACCUACGGCACCCCCGUACCCGAACCUUCCACCCGAACCAGACCACGGAGGGACGUGAACCCCCACAGGCUGGUCACUUGGACCUUAACGUGCUUAUAUGUGAUGCUGACUCAGCGCCGGCCAGGCCUGGUCAGGUGGACCACCACCCGUACCAGGUGGGUCACCCUUGCCACCAUCACCACGCCACUGGCCCCGACCUUUACAAUCAAGGUGUGCAGACUAUUCCCCUUCGGAAUCAGCGGGCCCAAGGGCCCCCCAUGUACCCAGUGGGGCGCCGGCGGGCCAUUUUACGUAUGCCCUAGUUACAACCCGGAAAAGCCUUAUUGCAAUUCCCCUGGCCAGUUUUACUGUCAUCGCUGGGGCUGCGAAACUGCAGUAGCGGGCAGUACCUCCUGGGCCCCACCAGAACAGGACCCCUUUAUCAGACUUGCCUGUCACCCCUCACCCCACCAGUGUACCCACCUCAACUUUAUGGUCCUCCAACCGACGACCGGGACCUGGUUACAUGGGCGAACUUGGGGCAUCAGGAAAGAUGCAAAGUGGGGAAAAGACAUUGGGACCACCUUCAGGAUUAUAAAAAGACUGGUCACCACCUCUCACAGCAUAGGGCCGCUGCAGAGUCAGCCCCGGCAACCAAGGCCCAAGAUUAGGCUUAGGAAAACAACACCUGCCCCCCCAGAACGAAGGGACCUACCCACGCCCACCCCGACCUGCAGGGUAGUCACGUGGUUUCAAUAUGCCAGCUCCUCGUGCACAGGGACCGCUAUGGCCGUCAUCAAAAACCUUACGGGGCAUUACAUCCAGCCCUAUGCAGGAUCCUCGUCGGAGUCAAGCCAAAGGCUCCUCAAGAUACUGGCCGAAUGGCUGCCCAACGCACCCCCCCCCCCAUAUGGGACCCCUAUCCCCCCACCGAACCCCCCCCACCGAGCCCCCCUUCAUAUGGGACCCCUGGGACCCCUAUCCCCUCACCAACCCCCCCUUCAUCUGGGACCCCUAUCCCCCCACCGACCCCCCCCCCGAGGUCCACCGCCACGGAUAUUGGGUCCCUUCCUCCUCUGCUCCUCGCGGCGAUCCCCUUCCUUGUCAUAA